UACGUAGGGUGCAAGCGUUGUCCGGAAUUAUUGGGCGUAAAGAGCUCGUAGGCGGUUCGUCGCGUCGGCUGUGAAAACCCGGAGCUCAACUCCGGGCCUGCAGUCGAUACGGGCGGACUAGAGGUCGGCAGGGGAGACUGGAAUUCCUGGUGUAGCGGUGAAAUGCGCAGAUAUCAGGAGGAACACCGGUGGCGAAGGCGGGUCUCUGGGCCGAGACUGACGCUGAGGAGCGAAAGCGUGGGGAGCGAACAGG
RNAcentral lists this ribosomal RNA (253 nucleotides) under uncultured bacterium. RNAcentral describes it as "partial 16S ribosomal RNA". It matches the Rfam family "Bacterial small subunit ribosomal RNA", at positions 524 to 776 of the family's 1533-position model. The record is from RNAcentral.